This 80-nucleotide transfer RNA is filed under the name Candidatus Bathyarchaeota archaeon. RNAcentral describes it as "tRNA-Pro". Lineage: Archaea; Thermoproteati; Candidatus Bathyarchaeota. The record is from RNAcentral.
GUAGAAUUACUACGGUUCUGGAUUAGGAUACACGCCUGGGGCGCGUGCGAUCCUGGGUUCAAAUCCCAGCGGCCCCACCA